Long non-coding RNA from Wasmannia auropunctata (little fire ant), 1079 nucleotides. RefSeq lists it as uncharacterized. The record is from RefSeq and is a predicted model, not a curated record. The transcript is spliced from 3 exons. NCBI's taxonomy places the organism in Eukaryota, Metazoa, Arthropoda, Insecta, Hymenoptera, Formicidae.
UCUUUAUAUUAAAUUUGCGCUAUUUUCAGACAAGUAUGAUGUCAUGAACGUUAAUUGUAAAUCUAUAAUUAGAUUUAAAGAUGUCGCGGUAGAUUUUAAUAGUGUAAAAAGAAACAAUCUUAUAAUUUUAGUUUAUUUCGAUGAUAUCUAAAAGCAAUUUACACAGGACAGUAUAUUCGAAAGGAAAACUCUAUUUGACAAAGUGUCUAAAAACGCGAAUGAUUUGUGGUUAUAGUAUUAUAGUGGUGACACAGACUGCUGCUAUUUCGUUACAAUGGGAAGAGGUUAUACGAAUUCUCGCGGCGAAACGGAACUCGUUGAGAACCCUACGUCGCCUGUGUGACAGGUGUGUCUGAUAGCGAUAUCUCGAAGUCGUAUUAUAUAAUACACGGUAUCCUACGACCUUACGUUGUAACCUCGCAGUCCGAUUUCUGAAGUGAUCCUGAGAUAAAAAUGUUAUAUUCUGAAAAUGGAUCUAAUUUCAACUGCAUUCGUAUAAGAUUUUUGAUUCGCAAUCAGAAAUCAGAUCACGAAGUUGUGACAUGAUGUCGCGGAACACUGUGUAACGGAGGUGUCUCGUGGCGGUUUCGUCGAGCCCUUCUCUUGACGUGACAGCUCGCAAAUGCACGUCCAUAUGGUCGUCCAACACGACCGCGCAUCUCGUUGCAUUAUUUCGGUUACGCCGAUUCAUCACGUUCUGACGCAUCGCCGGUGACUGCUGCACUAUGACGGAUGUCAUCCAGACACUGUCUUUCGUUCUUCGAUCUAUUACUGCGCACGAUAAUGAACGACUGAUGCAUUAUCGUUAUAAAGCCUCGAGUCGGGACCGAUAAAAAUCGGCUUGGAUGACGCCAUCGGAAGGACUCUUGCUUCUAUUUCUCAUUGGCUUUAUGGCACAAUCUCGUUUAUUCACGUUUAUUUCUCUGGCUCUUUACUUAUUUACUAAACAAGCUUUUACCCAUUUAAUUCUUAACAAAUGUUUCAACUUUUUAUCUAAAAAUUAUAUGAUGAUUAUAAAUGUAAUUGAUAGCGUGCUUUAGGAAAAGAUUAAUAAGCAAUAAAAACAAUUGGAAAACGUA